UACGGGGGGGGCAAGCGUUGUUCGGAAUUACUGGGCGUAAAGGGCUCGUAGGUGGCCAACUAAGUCGGACGUGAAAUCCCUCAGCUUAACUGGGGAACUGCGUCCGAUACUGGAUGGCUUGAGUUUGGGAGAGGGAUGCGGAAUUCCAGGUGUAGCGGUGAAAUGCGUAGAUAUCUGGAGGAACACCGGUGGCGAAGGCGGCAUCCUGGACCAACACUGACACUGAGGCACGAAAGCGUGGGGAGCAAACAGG
This 253-nucleotide ribosomal RNA is filed under the name uncultured bacterium. RNAcentral describes it as "partial 16S ribosomal RNA". It matches the Rfam family "Bacterial small subunit ribosomal RNA", at positions 524 to 776 of the family's 1533-position model. The record is from RNAcentral.